AGCCGAUGCUUAUUCUUCAGGUACACGUCAUUUUGUUCCUCCCUGAAAAAAGAGGUUUACAACCCAUAGGCCGUCAUCCCUCACGCGAGAUUGCUCCGUCAGGCUUCCGCCCAUUGCGGAAAAUUCCCCA
This 130-nucleotide ribosomal RNA is filed under the name uncultured bacterium. RNAcentral describes it as "partial 16S ribosomal RNA". The record is from RNAcentral.